RNAcentral lists this ribosomal RNA (400 nucleotides) under uncultured eukaryote. Its description in RNAcentral is "bacterial SSU rRNA". It matches the Rfam family "Eukaryotic small subunit ribosomal RNA", at positions 592 to 1032 of the family's 1831-position model. The record is from RNAcentral.
CAAUAGCGUAUAUUAAAGUUGUUGCGGUUAAAAAGCUCGUAGUUGGAUUUCUGCCGAGGACGACCGGUCCGCCCUCUGGGUGAGUAUCUGGCUUGGCCUGGGCAUCUUCUUGGAGAACGUAGCUGCACUUGACUGUGUGGUGCGGUAUCCAGGACUUUUACUUUGAGGAAAUUAGAGUGUUUCAAGCAGGCAUGCGCCUUGAAUACAUUAGCAUGGAAUAAUAAGAUAGGACCUCGGUUCUAUUUUGUUGGUUUCUAGAGCUGAGGUAAUGAUUAAUAGUAGUAGUUAGGGUGGGGCUACGUUACGUUUAACUUUAACUUCGUACGAAGGUAGGGUAAAGUUAAACUUUUCGGUUAGGUUUAGUUUUUAAAGGUUAAAACGGGAACCGGUAACCUUACGU